AUUUGGUUUAAAAUUUUCAAGGAGCCUCUCUUGCAUAUUUCAGCAGCAUGAAGUUCAUCUACUACCGUAGUUUGGACAGAAUUGAUAAGGCUUGUGAAGUGCUUUGGGUGAAGGCUCAAUAUUCAAAACCCUGCUAUGCAUUGGCCUGGAAUCUAACCCGGACUUCACAGAGUGCGCUUUCAGGUAAGUAUUGUGCUGACUCAGCAAUUUGGUUUAAAAUUCGAAAGGAGCCUCACUUGCAUAUUUCAGCAGCAUGAAGUUCUUCUACUACCGUAGUUUGGAUAGAAUUCAUAAGGCCUGUGAAGUUCUUUGGGUGAAGGCUCAAUAUUCAAAACCCUGCUAUGCAUUGGCCGGGAAUCGGACCCGGGCCUCCCGCGUGGCAGGCGAGAAUUCUACCACUGAAACACCAAUGCCUUUGUUAAAGAACCAAGGAGUUCGGAGAGUACGAUUUACACCUAAGUACUGUGCCGCUUCAGCAAUUUGCGUUAAAAGUCUAAAGGAGAAGGCUCAAUAUACAAAACUCAUUUGUGCACUGGCCGGACAUCGAAC
Ictalurus punctatus (channel catfish) is the source of this 549-nucleotide long non-coding RNA. NCBI's taxonomy places the organism in Eukaryota, Metazoa, Chordata, Actinopteri, Siluriformes, Ictaluridae. The record is from Ensembl.